RNAcentral lists this unclassified non-coding RNA (252 nucleotides) under uncultured fungus. Its description in RNAcentral is "partial contains 5.8S ribosomal RNA, internal transcribed spacer 2, and large subunit ribosomal RNA". Lineage: Eukaryota; Fungi. The record is from RNAcentral.
AACGCAUAUUGUGCCCUUUGGUAUUCUGAAGGGCAUGCCUGUUCGAGCGUCAUUAUCACCGUAUCAAGCUUGGCUUGUUGUUGGGCCCUGUGUCACCGGGUGACAGGUCCAAAAGACAAUGACCGGUGUCAUACCGACUCUAUAUGCAACGAGCUGACCACAGCAUGCAUUUAGUAGUGAUAUGGCCUGGUUCUCGUGCCUUUAUUUCUCCAGGUUGACCUCGGAUCAGGUAGGAAUACCCGCUGAACUUAA